AAGCGAUGCACAUACUGAUGAUAUUGUGCCAGCACAGCCCACCUUUGGCAAAUGGACAAGAAAACGCCACUACAAAAAUAAGAAUGCAGAAAUGUCAGAAAGUGGCAGAGCUCUACAGCCAUGGUCUGGUUUUGACAUUUGAAGUUUAUACUUCCACUGAGAAAGCUGUGAAGAUUCCCAAAGCAAUGACGUCAAAAUGAAGGGUUUCAGCAAAUCGCCCAGGUUUCACCAAGACGCAUCUUCCGGGAAGUUACGGAUCUCCAGCCUCAUCAAGAGGAAGAGAGGAAAUGCUUCGGUGUCCACUCUAGACAAAG
Grus americana (Whooping crane) is the source of this 314-nucleotide long non-coding RNA. RefSeq lists it as uncharacterized. The record is from RefSeq and is a predicted model, not a curated record. NCBI's taxonomy places the organism in Eukaryota, Metazoa, Chordata, Aves, Gruiformes, Gruidae. The transcript is spliced from 3 exons.